UACGGGGGGGGCAAGCGUUGCUCGGAAUUACUGGGCGUAAAGGGCUCGUAGGCGGCCAACUAAGUCGGAUGUGAAAUCCCCAGGCUUAACCUGGGAACUGCAUCCGAUACUGGAUGGCUUGAAUUCGGGAGAGGGAUGCAGAAUUCCAGGUGUAGCGGUGAAAUGCGUAGAUAUCUGGAGGAAUACCGGUGGCGAAGGCGGCAUCCUGGACCGACAUUGACGCUGAUGAGCGAAAGCUAGGGGAGCAAACGGG
RNAcentral lists this ribosomal RNA (253 nucleotides) under uncultured bacterium. Its description in RNAcentral is "partial 16S ribosomal RNA". It matches the Rfam family "Bacterial small subunit ribosomal RNA", at positions 524 to 776 of the family's 1533-position model. The record is from RNAcentral.